RNAcentral lists this non-coding RNA (228 nucleotides) under Clostridia bacterium. RNAcentral's name for it is "6S RNA". It matches the Rfam family "6S / SsrS RNA". From Rfam's summary of the family: E. coli 6S RNA was the first non coding RNA to be sequenced, but its function was unknown until recently. It consists of 184 nucleotides that fold into an extended hairpin structure with a large single-stranded internal bulge. Lineage: Bacteria; Bacillati; Bacillota; Clostridia. The record is from RNAcentral.
CCUUUCCUGCGGUGUACGUGUAAGCGCAUUUGCGUCUACCCGUGUAAAAACCCACAUUUACGAAAGGGAGUCUGAAGAAUCUUUGCCCGUGGUGAAGCAGGCCUCCCGUAACGCGGCUGUCUUUGUACCCCGCAGUUUACGGACGUUGGAAGCACUAAAGCGUGCAAUAGGACACCCACCUGCCAAAAGCAGGGUUUCGUUCACGGGACACGGCACUGCGGGGGCUUU